UGGCGGCCAAAUGUUUUAGGGUAAAGGAGUGGCUCAAAAACCUCAGAAAACAAACUUGAAAGUAGGUAUUUAUAGGUGAAAUUAGGGUUCUUGAAUUGUUAAGUAGGAAUUUGAAUUUCAUAUUUUGAAAUUGGUCGAAGAUAACCAUUAAAGCUCGAACGUUGGGUUUUAUGAAUUUACUCGACAGUAUUCACGUGAAUGAUAUAGCAAUAACACGAAAAUAGAGUGAACUUUUGUCCAUAGCUAAAGAACAUUGGAGUUUUG
Molecule: long non-coding RNA, 264 nt
Filed under: Solanum tuberosum (potato)
Lineage: Eukaryota; Viridiplantae; Streptophyta; Magnoliopsida; Solanales; Solanaceae
Description: long non-coding RNA (STUB_LNC001799)
Source: RNAcentral